CUAAAUUGCAAGUUAAGCAAGCAGAAAACAUCCUUGAGCUCUCAAACAUUGUCCCCUUUUGAGCCCACGGAAACAACAAAUCAUAAAAAAGAAAUAAAUAUAUGCAAAGGCCACAUGCAUUACAUGCAGUCCAACCAAAACGCAAGUCUACCCAACAAACUACAGGGAAUUGCACGAGCAGCUUGGCGAAGACAAGCAAGGGCGUCAUUGCACCUUCUGCGCUCUCUGGCAUGAAUCAUCCUCUGGGUCACGAAGGGUUCCCAGCAUCCAAUCCAUCCAUAUAGUAUAAUGGCCGUAAUUAUGCUUGUAUGUGGUAUGGUGAAUGGUGUGGUACCCAGCACCC
This 343-nucleotide long non-coding RNA is filed under the name Populus trichocarpa (black cottonwood). Its description in RNAcentral is "long non-coding RNA (PTRI_LNC001194)". The record is from RNAcentral. Lineage: Eukaryota; Viridiplantae; Streptophyta; Magnoliopsida; Malpighiales; Salicaceae.